UUCCCCUAGUAACUGCGAGUGUUUGGGUGGAAACAMAAAUUUAAAAUCUGGCRGWCUUUGGCCGUCCGAGUUGUAAUCUARAAAARUGUUAUCCGCGCUGGACCGUGUACAAGUCUCCUGGAAUGGAGCGUCAUAGAGGGUGAGAAUCCCGUCUUUGACACGGACUGCCAGGGCUUUGUGAUGCGCUCUCAAAGAGUCGAGUUGUUUGGGAAUGCAGCUCAAAAUGGGKGGUAAAUUCCAUCUAAAGCUAAAUAUUGGCGAGAGAACGAUAGCGAACAAGUACCGUGAGGGAAAGAUGAAAAGAACUUUGGAAAGAGAGUUAAACAGUACGUGAAAUUGCUGAAAGGGAAACGCUUGAAGUCAGUCGCGUUGGCCGGGGAUCAACCUUGCUUUUGCUGGGCGUACUUUCCGGUYGACGGGUCAGCAUCAAUUUUGAUCGKGGGAUAAAGGUUAGGGGAAUGUGGCAUCUUCGGAUGUGUUAUAGCCCUUGGUCGCAUACAACGGUKGGGAUUGAGGAACUCAGCACGCCGCA
Molecule: ribosomal RNA, 532 nt
Filed under: Flammula abieticola
Lineage: Eukaryota; Fungi; Basidiomycota; Agaricomycetes; Agaricales; Strophariaceae
Description: Pholiota abieticola partial large subunit ribosomal RNA
Rfam family: Eukaryotic large subunit ribosomal RNA
Source: RNAcentral